AUUGGAGGGCAAGUCUGGUGCCAGCAGCCGCGGUAAUUCCAGCUCCAAUAGCGUAUAUUAAAGUUGUUGCAGUUAAAAAGCUCGUAGUUGAACUUUGGGCCUGGGCGGACGGUCUACCUAUGGUAAGCACUGUUGCGGCCGGGUCUUUCCUUCUGGCUAGCCCUCGGGCGAACCAGGACGAUUACUUUGAGGAAAUUAGAGUGUUCAAAGCAGGCCUUUGCUCGGAUAUAUUAGCAUGGAAUAAUAGAAUAGGACGCAUGGUUCUAUUUUGUUGGUUUCUAGGACCAUCGUAAUGAUUAAUAGGGACGGUCGGGGGCAUCAGUAUUCAGUCGUCAGAGGUGAAAUUCUUGGAUUGACUGAAGACUAACUACUGCGAAAGCAUUUGCCAAGGACGUUUUCAUUAAUCAAGAACGAAAGUUAGGGGAUCGAAGAUGAUCAGAUACCGUCGUAGUCUUAACCAUAAACUAUGCCGACUAGGGAUCGG
This 484-nucleotide ribosomal RNA is filed under the name Pichia kudriavzevii. RNAcentral's name for it is "SSU rRNA". It matches the Rfam family "Eukaryotic small subunit ribosomal RNA", at positions 547 to 1056 of the family's 1831-position model. The record is from RNAcentral. Lineage: Eukaryota; Fungi; Ascomycota; Pichiomycetes; Pichiales; Pichiaceae.